AAGAGCCUAUUUUGAAGUCCAUCUCAAUACCUCGCCCUCCUUUUUCUCAAAGGCUGAAAAAGAAGCAAGAAAAGAGUAAGCAUCAAAAGUUUUUAUCUAUGUUAAAAGAGUCGUCAAUCAACAUUCGGAAUACCCCAAACUUUCUUUAAGUCAAAUUUAGUAUCUAGAAAAGUUAGUGAUGACUUCCUAAAUGAUUAAUGUUUAAAUU
Molecule: long non-coding RNA, 208 nt
Filed under: Capsicum annuum
Lineage: Eukaryota; Viridiplantae; Streptophyta; Magnoliopsida; Solanales; Solanaceae
Description: long non-coding RNA (CANN_LNC015824)
Source: RNAcentral